GCCAGGCUCAAUUGAGGGGCUAGUGGCCUUCGGGCUGUGCGGGUUCGAGUCCCGCCCUCGGCACCA
Molecule: transfer RNA, 66 nt
Filed under: Chloroflexota bacterium
Lineage: Bacteria; Bacillati; Chloroflexota
Description: Chloroflexi bacterium tRNA-OTHER
Source: RNAcentral